AUUGAACGCUGGCGGCAUGCCUUACACAUGCAAGUCGAACGGUAACGGGUCCUUCGGGAUGCCGACGAGUGGCGAACGGGUGAGUAAUAUAUCGGAACGUGCCCAGUAGUGGGGGAUGACUACUCGAAAGAGCAGCUAAUACCGCAUACGACCUGAGGGUGAAAGGGGGGGAUCGCAAGACCUCUCGCCAUUGGAGCGGCAGAUAUCAGAUUAGCUAGUUGGUGGGGUAAAGGCCUACCAAGGCAACGAUCUGUAGUUGGUCUGGGAGGACGACCAGCCACACUGGGACUGAGACACGGCCCAGACUCCUACGGGAGGCAGCAGUGGGGAAUUUUGGACAAUGGGCGCAAGCCUGAUCCAGCAAUGCCGCGUGCAGGAAGAAGGCCUUCGGGUUGUAAACUGCUUUUGUCAGGGAAGAAAUCUUCUGGGCUAAUACCCCGGGAGGAUGACGGUACCUGAAGAAUAAGCACCGGCUAACUACGUGCCAGCAGCCGCCGUAA
This 500-nucleotide ribosomal RNA is filed under the name uncultured bacterium. Its description in RNAcentral is "partial 16S ribosomal RNA". It matches the Rfam family "Bacterial small subunit ribosomal RNA", at positions 30 to 523 of the family's 1533-position model. The record is from RNAcentral.